GUCUACGGCCAUACCACCCUGAACAUGCCCGAUCUCAUCUGAUCUAGGAAGCUAAGCAAGGUCGGGCCUGGUUAGUACUUGGAUGGGAGGAAAUAAACCUAUGUGAUCA
RNAcentral lists this ribosomal RNA (109 nucleotides) under Octodon degus (degu). The record is from RNAcentral. Lineage: Eukaryota; Metazoa; Chordata; Mammalia; Rodentia; Octodontidae.